This is a long non-coding RNA of Pseudopipra pipra, 1812 nucleotides long. RefSeq lists it as uncharacterized. Lineage: Eukaryota; Metazoa; Chordata; Aves; Passeriformes; Pipridae. The transcript has 2 exons. The record is from RefSeq and is a predicted model, not a curated record.
GCCACAGCUCAUUCCGGGACUGGCUGUUGCUCUGUUAUUUAUCUGCCUUAGAUUUGGAAGCAAGUUCAGCUUGGUCUUGUAUGCUCUAAGAAGCUGAGAGUUUCAUGCACAAGGGAAAGCUUUGCCAUCAUAGGAAAUGGAGAAUAACUUUGUUGCUCUGACAGCAUACCAGGAAAAUAAGAUCAGGAAAGUCCCUCACGUGCUGUCCCUGGAGAGCCCCCACAAAAACCAGGAGCCUAUUUCACUGUCAGUGGCUGCUCUGUGCCCUACUGUCAUUUUUUUUUUCCGUUUGGAGUCUGGUUCUGCCAUCUUUCAUGAUAUCAAACAGUAAAACCACAAAGAGUAUGGCCUGACAGCUGCAGUAAGGGCACUGCAAGGAGGAGUUUAACUUACAGCUGUGGGGUCAAACCUGCUGCUGGAGAGAUACUUCAGGACCUAAAAGGUGAGUGGUGCCUAAAACCACCCUGGCAGAACGAUGGCACAGUUCACAAAACUACCAAAAAUCCGUGUCCUUCUUUGAAAGUAGUUCCUGCUGGAGCAGGUCUGCAGAUGCUGCACAGUAGCAGAGAAAGCCUUGUUUCAAGUUAUGUAAAUGUUUGUCCUUGCAUUCUCUUCAGACACUACAUAGCAUAGCAGCAAAAGAUGAGGGAGAACUUGCAUUUUCCUACUCCUGGCCAAGAAAGCUGAAAAAACCCUGUGGGUUUAACAUAACAAUGCUGAUCUAUUUUAAGGAGCUGUGUGUGUGUAACCUCAGCGCGAGAUUAAUUCCCGUUAUUAUCUUCUCCGCGUCAGGAGAAGCCUCUGUUUGCUUCCAAGGUUUCAAAACCACGGCUGGGACGAAACCGAACGUACCGUCCUGACCUCCAGCCAUCUGUUGGCAGCCGACAGAAAUAAGUAGGCAAUGUUGUUGGUGUCUGUCAGCUCCAGCAUGCGCUGUUUGAACCUGGCUUCGUGCCUGCCGAGAGCAAAGUUGGUACAUUUACAACACGUCACACGCUCACACACAGAAGGGUGAAGCAUUAACUCUCCUCUAAGGGUGAAGCAUUAACUCUCCUCUGACUUCCCUCCCUCCCUCCCCCUCCCAGUCAAAACGUUUUGCCCUUCUGAUUUUGGGUUAAAAACUCUUCCCUGCUGCCACAACUCUCCACAGCCAGAGCUACCCCUGUGAUGGGGAGGGUUUGUUUUGGAGUAGAUUUUGGAUCAGAGCCUGUCCCCUGAAAGAGACUCCAGUGCUGGGGUGCUGGGCUUUUGGUUAUCAAAGUUGAUCCAUUUUUUAUAGCUGUGGCCACCCUUCAGUCCUCUAACAAGUGAGUGCUGCUGUGGCCCCUUGCUUCUUCCUCACAAGCCACCACUGAGACCUGCCAUCUGAAAAGCUGAUUUCAGAUGUCUCUGUAGAAAUUUUAUUGCAUAGCAGACAAGAAUGGACAUUUCAUGUAUUGCACAUAUUCUUUUCAGUAUUUCUAUAGUAUAGAAAGACACUGGCAUGGGAAUAUCAUGUUCCUCUCUUGCCACAGGAGCCUUGGAAUCAUUUCCCAGUCACCUCUUCCAUCUACUUUUGGUCACAGAUGAGCUUCUCUUUGUCCCCCAGUGAUAAUGACUUUACCAUGUCUCUCCUGGGUAAAAACCUGCUGUCCAUUUUAGCCAGAUCCUAAUUACCUGUUAUUCUCACACAUUCUAAUUUAUUAAUAUAAUGAAUUUAAAUUCAUUGUAUUAAUCACAGCUGAUUUUAAAUUUUGUAGCAUGUUAUUGGUGACUCUUAGGUCAGGUAUAAAACAAGGUUUGUGUGUCUGCUACUUUAUUGCAACUGUACCA